Molecule: long non-coding RNA, 792 nt
Filed under: Monodelphis domestica (gray short-tailed opossum)
Lineage: Eukaryota; Metazoa; Chordata; Mammalia; Didelphimorphia; Didelphidae
Description: lncRNA (ENSMODG00000037244.1)
Source: RNAcentral
AAGUCUAUGAACAUUUUCUUAUCUCUAUAGCCAUAUAAAGAUAUAUAAAUGUAAUUAAAAAGGCAAUCAAUUAACAUGAAAUGCAAUUUUAAAGGGAAAAGCUAGGUCCAGACCUAGAAAUGAGUGGACCUAGCUUCAAAUCUGGCCUCAGACAUUUCCUAUCUGUGUGACCUUGGGCAAGUCACUUAACCCCCAUUGCCUAGCCCUUACUGCUCUUCUGCCUUGGAACCACUACAUAGUAUUGAUUCUAAGAUGGAAGGUAAGGGUUUAAAAGAAAAAUAAAUGCAAAUUUGAAAAUGCAUUUUAUUUUAAAGUUCAAAUCCAGAGCCCCUGCAAAGUUUUCACUUGAAUCUUUCCUCUUUAGGGUUUGCUGGCAGAGAAGGAAUGCCCUAUGGGAUUUAAUAAUAUGGAAACAUCCUGAACCUACAGGAAACACACAUGAAAUAGCUGGAUAUAACUUCUGUAAACAGAACACCUCCCUCUGGGUAAUCGACUCCAGUUGUGGUGACCCAUAAAUCCAGGAUGGAAAGGACUUCAUACCUGUAGCUUUCAAGUGUCAGACAGAUGAGAGGCAACCAGCAAGUAUAUGUUCCUUACCUACAAGUUUCCUUUGGCUCAAUGUAUGCAGCUGACAUAGGAGAAAUCAUGAGUAUUGGAGCCAAACUGAGGAAACUGGGGAAAUUGUGACUAUGUGGUGGUUCUAUGAAAAGCAAAAAUACUGAAGGGUUUGGGUUGACCAUUAUUUGGCUGGUAUAUAAUAAAGUGGAAGAAUUACUAAGAUAGCUAUAAACA